GACUUUAUAAAUUUGAACUCUAAUUGGUGUUGGUAUGGAAUUUUAGAUUGAGUCUUGUUUUCUAGGUUGAAAUUAGGAAUUUUUAAUAGAAGGUGUUCUAGACUUUAAGAUUUGAAGAACAAACCAGAUUAGUACCUGGUUAGACAAAAAUUAAAAAAGCAGGAGUAAAGUUGUAUUUAAACUGUAAGAAUAUUGGCAGGUCUUUAAAUUAUCUUUGGAGGUUGAGUAGUAAUUGAGAACCCUCAUUAACAGCUUUUGUUUUGGGCGCAUGUAUGAUCGUUUAUUUUAUGCUUAAGGUUUGUAAUUUUAGGUUUAUUCUACUGUAAAAAUAGAUAAAUACUUGGUUUAUACAGAAGAUUUAAUUUGACCUACACUAUAUUAUUUUGUGGAUACCUUUUUAGUAUUGAGGUUGAAAAUGUAAAAGACAGUAAGUUUUUCUUUAUGUAAAACUGAAGUUUAUUUGGGGGCGGUACAAAUCAUCCAUCAAUUGCCUUU
This 495-nucleotide ribosomal RNA is filed under the name Parascaris univalens. Its description in RNAcentral is "partial small subunit ribosomal RNA". Lineage: Eukaryota; Metazoa; Nematoda; Chromadorea; Rhabditida; Ascarididae. The record is from RNAcentral.